RNAcentral lists this ribosomal RNA (218 nucleotides) under uncultured bacterium. Its description in RNAcentral is "partial 16S ribosomal RNA". It matches the Rfam family "Bacterial small subunit ribosomal RNA", at positions 57 to 305 of the family's 1533-position model. The record is from RNAcentral.
GCAAGUCGAGCGCACCUUCGGGUGAGCGGCGGACGGGUUAGUAACGCGUGGGAACAUACCCUUUUCUACGGAAUAGCCAUUGGAAACGAUGAGUAAUACCGUAUACGCCCUUCGGGGGAAAGAUUUAUCGGAGAAGGAUUGGCCCGCGUUAGAUUAGAUAGUGGGUGGGGUAAUGGCCUACCAAGCCGACGAUCAGUAGCUGGUUUGAGAGGAGGAGC